Molecule: long non-coding RNA, 13118 nt
Filed under: Triticum aestivum (bread wheat)
Lineage: Eukaryota; Viridiplantae; Streptophyta; Magnoliopsida; Poales; Poaceae
Description: long non-coding RNA (TAES_LNC017595)
Rfam family: MIR1120/MIR1122 microRNA precursor family (bases 1960-2046)
Source: RNAcentral
GUAAUCCAGGUUACUAAUGGCGCACCUUCUGGUGGUGCGCCAUUAGUAGUUUUGCAAAAAAAAACAUACUAAUGGCGCACUGUACCACAGUGCGCCAUUACUAGUUUAAACUAGUAAUGGCGCACGGUGGAAAAGUGCGCCAUUAGUAGUUUUGCAAAAAAGGGAAUAAAAAAUAUAAUAGAAAAAACAACAUUAGUGGCGCACUUUCCGGCAGGUGCGCCAUUACUAGUUACAACUAGUAAUGGCGCACUGUGUCUGGAUGCGCCAUUAGUAUGUUUGGAUAGGCGCACUAGUUAAAAAAAUUGAUACUAAUGGUGCACCCUGGGCCAGGUGCGCCAUUACUAGUUACAACUAGUAAUGGCGCACUGUGUCUGGAUGCGCCAUUAGUAUGUUUGGACAGGCGCACUAGUUAAAAAAAUUGAUACUAAUGGCGCACCCUGCGCCAGGUGCGCCAUUAGUAGUUUCAACUCUAAUGGCGUAUCAGAAGGUGGUGCGCCAUUAGUAUAUACUAAUGGCGCACCGCUUGUCUGGUGCGCCAUUAGUGUCAAUCCCAUCUAUAGCCCUUUUUCUAGUAGUGAUGGUAUGAUUGUUGUCCUACGGACUAAACCCGCCGGUUUAUAUAGACACUGGAGGGGGCUAGGGUUACACAGAGUCGGUUACAAGGGAGGAGAUCUACAUAUCCGUAUUGCCAAGCUUGCCUUCCACGUCAAGGAGAGUCCCAUCCGGACACGGGUCGAAGUCUUCAAUCUUGUAUCUUCAUAGUCCAACAGCCCGGCCAGAGGAUAUAGUCCGGCUGUCCGAGGACCUCCUAAUCCAGGACUCCCUCACUCUUCCUCCCCCAAGAUCCAUUGUUGCUCUCAAGCUCAUUUCUCCCAAUCUCUCUCCCUAGCCAAUCAAACUUGUUGAUUCUUUAGGGAUUGGUUGAGAAGGCCUAGAUCUACACUUUCACCAAGAAAAAUUUGAUUCCCCCCACUAAUCCCUUGCGGAUCUUAUUACUCUUAGGUGUUUGAGCACCCUAGACGGUUGAGAUCACCUUGGAGCCACAUUUCAUUAUGGUGAAGCUUUGUGGUGGUGUUGAGAGCCUGCAAUUCAAUUGUGGAGAGAGCCCCGACCUUGUUUGUAAAGGUCCGGUUGCCGCCUUCAAGGGCACCACUAGUGGAAUCACGGCAUCUUGCAUUAUGCGAGGGCGUGAGGAGAAUACGGUGGCCCUAGUGGCUUCUUGGGGAGCAUUGUGCCUCCACACCACUCCAACAGAGACGUGCUUCCCCUCAACGGGAAGGAACUUCGGUAACACAUCCUCGUCGCCAUCGACUCCACUUGUAGUUAUCUCUUACCUUUACUUUGUGCAAGCUUUACUUGUGUUGUUUAUCUUGUCUGCUUGUGUUGUUGUUGUUGGUAGCAUCAUAUAGGUUGUUCACCUAGUUGCAUAUCUAGACAACCUAUUUGUUGCUAAACCUAAUUUAUUAAGAAAAGCUAAAAAUUGGCAGUUGCCUAUUCACCCCCCCCCCCUCUAGUCAACCAUAUCAAUCCUUUUAGGGCGGGGCGGCCCCCGGCGGCGAUCAUGGACCGACCGCCCCGGGGCGGCGUGGAGCGGAAGUGGUGGCGGCGGCUAGGGUUUGGAUCGGUUAGGCUGAUACCAUAUUAGAAGGGAUAGACAUGAAUUGGUGGAAUCGAUGUUUAUUGCUAGAGCCUCGUGGGCAUAUAUAUAGGAGUACAAUGACCAACUUGAAGUAUAAGACAAGGUAGGGUAAGACCCUAUGCUAUCCUAUCUUUUCUAAUAAUCAUAAUACUCAACAGAGACUAAACAAAGAAAAUUUACCAAACCCAGACUGGCAACUAUUACAGUCUAAUAUCGAGAACACCGCUAAAACCUCCAGUAAAAUGGUAGAAGCACUUGAAAAAUACUGCUACUAAUUAAAAAUAUUAAAAAAAAAAGGGAAGCCAUAAAAAUGGUGUUAACUACUCCCUCCGUCCCAUAAUGUAAGACGUUUUUUGACACUAGUGUAUUGUCAAAAAACGUCUUACAUUAUGGGACGGAGGGAGUAAUAAACAGAGCAGUUUCCAGAACUGGGGUACCCAUUAAGAGAACAUGACGUUUAGUACGAUUACCUUAAUGUAGAUCGAACAACUUAAAUCUUUGUUCUUCAACGCCUGGACCGAUUCUCAUCGAAGAACUCAAUCUGAGGUUGGAACCAAGAUGUCAAACUCAUUUUCCCAUGUACAUCCAUCGUAUGGAAGCCCAUCCCCUUUCACAUAGUACUCCCUUUGACCUGUAGAGUUUAUUCUGUUCAUAACUUCAAAUCAAAUAUGAGCCGAUCUUUGCUAACUGGAAAUCUAUGGAUCUACAAGAUGAAGACAAUAAGCACACUCAAAUGACCAAUACCAUCCUAAAAUCAAAGGACGUUGCUCUCUUUCUACGAGUAUCGCCAUUUACUGUGGACAAUAACAUGAUUGAGUACUGAAUAAAUGUGACAAUAUCCAAUAACAACUUCAUAAUUGAGUAAUAAGUACUCUCUCCAAACCAAUGAAGUAUGUGUUCACAGUACAACUUACCUAACACAAAAUUACAUGCAUAAGCUAAUUCACAAGGUAACAACUAUUAGGCCUAUUUUUAUGUCAAUUAAAUAUGAAAAUUUAGUAUCAAAGAAUAUUUCAUGUUCGACGUCAACAUACCACCAGAAAGAAACAUGGGCUCUCCUUGAGAUAAGGCCCUGUCUUCGACAUCUUCGAGAAGCAUGCGAGGAAGGUCCUGUUAAUAUCCACCCUCUACCCUACCGACCACACCACUACUGAGGGGUUCUCCCUGCAGGUCAGCGCCACCGACGCCAUGGACUACUAGAGUGUGGUCGGGUGCCAACACGGGCUUGUCCUCUCAUUAACGGCGUGUGAUCAUCCUGUUUGACCCUGUUUCUGCUGACCACCAGAUUUCGUUGAGCACGCGUAAACCUCCAACGGAGUUGUGGUCGCCGACGAGCAGGGCCAGUCGAGCACAUUCGAGAUGGUCUUGGUAGGCAUCUCGGGCAAUGGCAGCGUGGAGUCACUGCUGCCAAGGUCGGCGGAACCAUGUAUUGUUGGUCGUCUCCCUUGCAGCAAAAUGUUAAAAACACUUUAAAACCUCAAGCAAAAUGUAAAAAAACACUUCAAAAUACUACUACUAACUAAACGAGUGUUAGUAAGGGAGGGUGCCACGCUGAUGGUUUUAACUAAAGAAUAAAGAGCAGUAACCUGAACUAGGGUAAGCCGACACCAGAGACUUCUAAUAGAGCUACUGAUGACACAUCAAAGCCUAUUGAUAGAACAGAAUCUAGCAUCUUCUUUAUCGAAAAUGUGACCUUGGUUGGAUCUUACGAGCAAGUUUCCAUAUUCGAGACUAAGGAAUUUUCCCAAGCUCGGACUGGCAACAAUUACAGCCUAACAUCGAGAAAACCGCUAAAACCUCCAGCAAAAGGGUAAAAACACUUUAAAAUACUGCUACUAACUAAACGAAUGUUAGAAAAGAGGGGCGCCACACUAAUAGUUUUAACUAAACAAUAAAGAAUAUACUCUGCACAAAGAAAGCUCUUAGCUUCGAUGAAUAUUUCUGUCCUACCUAGGUGCCCUUUUAUAGAUUCCCUGGAGAUAUACACAUGUACACAUUACACAUAUUUUCGAUGUAAAUUGGGGGCUCAUAGGGUCGCGUGCUUUGAAAAAAAAAACUAAGUCUUGGUUUAUUAUACCAUGUAUUAGGGUAUUUUUCCUUGCACUGCAAAAAAAGAUCGAUAUUUUGUCCAUCCCGGAAAAUAUUAAUUGGAAUUUACUGUUCCAUAUCAGAUAUCAAUGAGUAGUAAUCUGUGUUGGAUAAACAGCAACUGGAUUUACCGAGGGCCAAAGGCCAGUACAUAUACAGGUGUGGGAAAGUGCAGAAAAGCCCCUUAUACAAUAGGGAUGUACAGAGAGUAACUAUACACAUCUAACACCCCCCCUCAAACUCAUGGUGGAUCAACAACACUGAGUUUGGAGAGGAAAAAGUCAUGCUGCGCUCGAGUCUGUGCCUUCGUGAAGAAGUCCGCCAACUGUAACUCAGAGGGCACAUAGUGAAGAGCGAGAGUCUGAUCCUGCACAGCAGCACGCACAAAGUGGGCAUCCACACUGAUGUGCUUGGUGAGCUCAUGCUUCACCGGGUCACGCGCGAUACUAAUAGCACCGGUACUGUCGGACAGUAAGGGAGUCGAGGUAGUGGCAGACACACCAAAAUCCUCAAGUAACCACCGUAACCAGAUCACCUCAGCCGUCAACAUAGCCAUGGCUCGCAACUCAGCCUCUGUACUCGAACGAGAAACGGCAGUCUGCUUCUUUGUCUUCCAGGCAAUAAGAGAGCCACCAAGAAAGACACAAUAAGUAGACAGCGAGCGUCGAUCAGAGGGAUCACUAGCCCAGGUUGCAUCAGAGUAGGCCUGGAGCUCAAGAGAGCUGGAGCGGGGAAAGAAAAGGCGCUGAGAGAUCGUGCCACGAAGAUAUCAUAGAACACGGAGGAGAUGACUAUAGUGGACAGAGGUGGGGGCGGAAACAAACUGACUCAGGAUGUGGACAGGAUAGGAGAUGUCAGGACGCGUAACAGCGAGAUAGACAAGACUCCCAACAAGGUGACGAUAGCGAGUGGGAUUAGGGAGAGGGUCACCAUCAGAAGCACGAAGCUGAACGUUGAGCUCCAUAGGAGUCACAACGGUGCGCUCAUCACCAAGGGCAGCACGAGCAAGAAGAUCCUGAAUAUAUUUUUCUUGGAAGACGUAGAAGCCAUCGGAGGUCGAGGAGAUCUCAAUCCCAAGGAAAUAACGAAGUGGACCAAGAUCAGUCAUGAGGAACUGGUCAUGAAGGCGACCCUUAACAAAGGCAAUAUAGUCAGUAUCGUCACCAGUGAUGAUCAUGUCAUCAACAUAGAGAAGGAGAAGAGUCCAACCACGAGGAGACGUGUGAACAAACAAGGCGGGAUCAUGGUCACUGGGCAAGAAACCAGCGGCAGUCACCACAGAGGCGAAGCGCUCAAACCAGGCACGAGGGGCCUGUUUAAGACCAUAGAGGGAGCGGCGAAGUCUACAGACUGUACCAUCAGGAGCAUAGUACCCCGGUGGUGGUUGCAUAUACACCUCCUCACGCAACUCGCCAUUGAGAAAAGCAUUCUGGACAUCAAGCUGAGAGAUUGACCAAUGACGGACAGAAGCCACAGCAAGAAGAGUGCGGACAGUGGUCAUGUGAGCCACAGGAGCAAAAGUCUCAUCGUAAUCGCGUCCCUGCUCCUACUGAAAACCACGGGCCACAAGACGAGCUUUGUAGCGCUCAAGAGAACCAUCAGAGCGAUUCUUAAUCUUGUAGACCCACUUGCAGGUGAUGGGACAAACACCAGAAGGGAGGGAAACCAGAUCCCAGGUGCCAGAGCGCUCAAGGGCAGCAAGCUCUUCGGCCAUCGCAAGCUGCCAUUUAGGCUGAGUCAUGGCAGUCCGAUAGGAAGUGGGCUCAGCAAUAACUGAGAGACCGUACCGAUCAGGGGAAUAGCGAUCAGGCGGGGGGCAAGGCCGAGCACGGAGGUUAUGAACCGGGGGAGGCGUGAACGGUGGUGCACCAGAGGUGGAAGGCACGUCAGGAGAAUCAGGGGAAGCAUCCUCAGUACGAGGGCGGCGAGUGUAGUGGAGAGGAAACGGGGAGAGAGGGGGACGGACUGGAGAUGAUGGUGGAGAGGUAGAGGAAGAGGAUGGAGAAGAGGGGGUCGAUGGUGAGGAAGAAGGAAUGAGAGGGGCAUGUGGAAGAGGUGAAACAUGAGGCACAUAGCAGGAUGUAUCGGGAAGAAGAAGAAAGGAAAUAUCAUCCACAGAGAAGCUCGAGGAAGAAGGACGUGGGUAGUAAGAACAGGACUCACCAAAGGUCACAUCACGCAAGAUGCGUAAGCGACGACCAACAGAAUCCCAGCAGCGAUAGCCCUUGUGCUCAUCACUGUAGCCAAGGAAAAUACACUCAACGGACUGAGCAGUCAGUUUGGUGCAUUCUCGCGGGGCUAGAAGAACAUAGCACACACAUCCAAACAUACGAAGAGCUGAGUAGUCAGGAGAACGACCAGUGAGACACUCCAUGGGAAUACCACCCUGCAGAGCAGUCGAUGGCUGAAUGUUGAUGAGAUAGGUGGAUGUAGAAACAACCUCAGCCCAAAAGUGUGGUGGAAGGGAAGCGGCAAUCAUCAGCGCACGAGCUGUCUCAAGCAGAUGACGAUGCUUGCGUUCAGCAACGCCAUUCUGAGCAUGAGCACCAGGACAUGAGAACUGGGAAAGAGUGCCCUGUUCCGCAAGAAAACCACGCAACAGCUGAGAGAUAUACUCUCCAGCAGAGUCAGCACGAAAAGUGCGAAUGGGCGUGGAAAACUGGGUGUGAACCAUGGCAGCAAAUCGUUUGUACAUAGAGAGAACCUCGCUACGAGAUUUCUUGAAGUAGAGCCAAUUGUAGCGAGAGAAAUCAUCAAUAAACAAAACAUAGUAGCGAUGACCACCCUUCGAAUCAAAGGGAGCAGGACCCCAAACAUCAGAAUGAACUAAGUCAAAAGGACGCUGAGAGACCGACUCACUGGUAGGAUAAGGUAACUGGGUCUGUUUGCCAAGUCUACAACCAUUACAAUGUAAAGAAACAUCGCUAGAUACAGACCCUAGGAGGCCCUGACGCACUAAAGAUGACAAGCGAGAGCCACAGAGGUGACCAAGGCGAUGAUGCCACUGCUGGAAGGAUGCAAACGAAGAGGCAGCAAGGGCAUGAGAGCUGGCAGAAGUGGUGGCAGCGGAAGGAACACAAAGCCAGUCAACCUCCCAAAGGCCCUCUGACUCACGGCGCCGGGGGCCAGCACCAACCAAAGCCUUGGGGCGACGAUCCUGAAUGGAGCAAGAGUCGGUAUCAAGAAUGACACGACAACCAGAAUCAGUAAGUUGGGCAGCGAAAAAAGAUUCAUGGUAAGGCGAGGAACAUGAGAAACACUAGGAACAGAGAAGGAUGGAGUGGAAAGAAAACCACGACUAGCAACAGGAAGGGAUGUGCCAUCAGCAGUGAGAACAUUAAUAGGAGAAUCAAGAGGGAGAAGAGAAGACAACAAUGAAGAACCAGAGGACAUAUGAAAGGAGGCUCCAGAAUCCAGAACCCACGAGGAUGUACCUGACGGUGUAGAUGUCGGCGGUGAUGAGGUGGAGACAGCAGUCACAGCAGCAGCAGAGCCUGUCGAGGAAGAACCAGAGGAAGCCAGAAGGCGCUUGAGACGCACAAUGUCCUGGUCAGUGAGUGACAGAGUCGAUGAUGACACAGGAGUCCCACUGGAAGAGGAGCGCCUCUGGUUUCGCUGCUUCUGGUGACAAUCAGACUCUGGGUGGCCUGGCCUGGAGCAGUAGUCACAGAAAGUGUCAUGGCGCGACCGGCCCUUCUCAACAUAAGGAGGGCGACCCACCCCCCUGAAGGUGUUGGUAGGAGCGGUGGAGCAAUGGGACGAGAGACGACACAGGAGCACGAGCAGCCAACACAGAAGAGACUGCAAGCAACCCAGCAGAAUGAAGGCAGGUCUCCUCAGCACGAAGCUCAGCAAGCACUUCCGAGAUAGGAACACGACCACGGGCAAGCAAGUGAGCACGUCAGGGCUCAAACUCGGAUCGGAGACGAGAUAAGAACUCGUGAACCCUCUGAAACUCCAAGUCAGACCGCGUAGUCUGACAACAGCGGCAAGUGCCACAAACAAUUGUCCGUAGUGAGUCAAGCUGACGCCAGAUGGCAGAGCAAUGUGAAUAGAACUCAUCAGCAGACGAGUCACCCUGCUGAAGAGCAUGCUCCUGACGCACCACAGAAAGGUAUAGAGCAUCACCAGAGGGCUGAUAGCGCUGACAAAGGUAGGACCACAUCGCUGCAACAGUGCCGAGACCCAUGAACUCCGAAGCAAACUGAGGGAGGACACUCGCAAUGAGAACAGCAGCAGCGCGAGCAUCAUCAUUGCACCACUGAGUGUAAGCAGAUAGAUCAUCCCGGUAGACAGAAAGAGCAUCAGAAUAUGCGGAUACCUGUUGAUCAUAAGCAUCAACUGCAGAAUCAUCCAGAGCCUUGGCUGCAUCCCGAUCAGCCUGAGAAGCAUCCGCAGCAAGCACUGGCGGCACCGGCGGAACAGGAGCCACCGGAGCAACAGGGCAAGGCGGACAGGGUACCUCGCCAGAGAGAACUCCCCACAGAAGAAGGCCGCGCAUAUGGAUACGCAUGAAGCCCACAAACUCAGCACAGUUGGUGCCAUCGAAGAUCACCGAGCACCGAGGGACCGCGACAUAGCCCGAAGCAGACAUGAGAAGCCUCUCUGCCUUUUUUUUUGGUCAACGGACCCUCAACUCGAUCUGGAUCGAGGGGAUCUCGAACCAGGAAGCGAGCGAGGCCACAGAGAGCGACUGCGGGCAGGGAGCGCGUGAGGCUGGGACUCCCCGAUGCAGCCAGUCGAGCAGCACAGGCGGGCGGACGGGGAACGCACGGCCCGGCUUGAGAGGAGGAGCAGCACGCGGCCCAGCGCAGAAUCGGGCAGAGGACGAGCCCGAGAGCGGCGCGGCCCUGCGCGAGAGGAAGAGGAGCGCGCGGCUCUGCGCGAGAGGAAGAGGAGCGCGACCCGGACGGGAUCGAGCAGAGGAGGCGCUCCCGAGGCCGGCUGGCAGGAGCUUGCUCACAUGGGGGAUGGAGGAGCGCUGCCUUGGCGCGGGCCAAGAUGCACCAGACGGGGGAGACGAGGCCAAACGGGACAGCCGGGGCGGCGGAUCCGGACGGGACGAGUGCGACGGCGACGGCCGGAAUCGAGCAGAGGCGGCCGGAGACGAGGUAGGCUAGGAGGAGGGAGCACGGAGUUGCAGCGUGCGGGAGAGCGAGGGUAACCUAGCAUCUGAUACCAUGUUGGAUAAAUAGCAACUGGAUUUACCGAGGGCCAAAGGCCAGUACAUAUACAUGCGUAGGAAAGUGCAGAAAAGCCCCUUAUACAAUAGAGAUGUACAAAGAGUAACUAUACACAUCUAACAACCUGAAUUUGGGUAAGCCGAUGCUAAAGACUUGUAAUAGAGCUAGUGAUGACACAUCAAAGCCUGUUAAUAGAAUAGAACCUAGCAUCUUCUUUAUCGAAAAUGUGGCCUUAGUUGUUUCAACUAAAGAAUAAAAAGCAAUAACCUGAACUGGGGUAAGCCGACCCUAGAGACUCGUAAUAGAGAUGAUGAUGACACAUCAAAGCCUGUUGAAAGAAUAGAAUCUUGCAUCCUCUUUAUCGAAAAUGUGGCCUUUGUUAGAUCCUCCGAGCAAGUUUCCAUAGUCAAGACUAUGCAAUCCAUAGUCAAGACUAUGCAAGGAAAAUUUACCAAGCUCAAACUGGCAACAAUUACAGCCUAAUAUUGAGAACACUCCUAAAACUCUAGCUAAAUGUUAAAAACACAUUAAAAUACUGCUACUAACUAAACAAAUGUUAGUAAGGAGGGGUGCCACACUAAUGGUUUUAACUCAAGAAUAAAGAGCAGUAACCUGAACUAGGGUAAGCCAACGCUAGACUUCUAAUGGAGCUACUGAUGACACAUCAGUCUGUUGAUAGAACAGGAUCCUGCAUCAUGUUUAUCGAAAAUGUGGCAUUGGUUGGAUCAUCCAAGCAAGUUUCCAUAUUCGGGACUAAGGAAAUUUUACCAAGCUAAGACUGGCAACAAUUACAGCCUAAUAUCGAGAACACCGCUAAAACCUCCAGCAAAAUGGUAAAACCACUUCAAAAAUACUGCUACCAAAUAAACGAAUGUUGGAAAAGAGGGGUGUCACACUGAUGGUUUUAACUAAAGAAUGAACAAAGUAUUCUGCAGAAACAAAGCUCUUAGCUAUUGAUGAAUAUUUCUUUCCUAGCUAGGCGCCCUUUUAUAGAUUCCCCAGAGAUAUACACAUGUACUCAUUAUGGGUAUUUUCUAUGUAAAUUGGGGCUCAAAGUGCCGCUGGUUCUGAAAAAACAAUGUCUUGGUUAAUUAUAACAUGUAUUGGGGUAUUUUUCUUUGCACUGCAAAAGAAAUCGAUAUUUUUUCAUGCCCAAAAAUAUUAAUUGAUAUUCACUCUUCCAUAUCAGAUAUCAAUGAGUAGUAACCUGAACUAGGGUAAGCCAAUGCUAGAGACUUAAUAGAGCUGUUGAUGACACAUCAAAGCUUGUUGGUAGAAUAGAACCUUGCAUCUUCUUUAUAGAAAAUGUGGCCUUGGUUGGAUCCUCUGAGGAAGUUUCCACAUUCGAGACUAAGCAAGGAAAAUUUACCAAGCUCAGACCGGCAACAAUUACAACCUAACAUUCAGAACAUUGCUAAAACCUCCAGCAAAAUGGUAAAUACACUUAAAAAAUACUCCUACUAACUAAACGAGUGUUAAUAAGGAGGGGUGCCACGCUGAUGGUUUUAACUAAAGAAUAAAGAGCGGUAACCUGAACUAAGAUAAGCCGACACCAGAGACUUCUAAUAGAGGUACUGAUGACAAAUCAAAGCCUGUUGAUAGAACAGAAUCUAGCAUCUUCUUUUUCGAAAAUUUGGCCUUGGUUGGAUCUUACGAGCAAGUUUCCAUAUUCAGGACUAAGGAAGUUUUACCAUGCCCAGACUGGCAACAAUUACAACCUAAUACCGAGAACACCACUAAAACCUCCAGCAAGAUGGUAAAAAUACUUUUAAAAUACUACUACUAACUAAACGAAUGUUAGAAAAGGGGGUGCCGCACUAAUGGUUUUAACUAAAGAAUAAAGAGCAGUAACCUGAAUUCAUUUUUGUGGAUGCAUCUCAGUACUACCUUCUGGAGUCUGUUUGCAAGUAACUUCGUUACGAACUUCAAACAAGAAUUAGACCGUGAAAUUGGUCUGAAAUCAUUGGGCCCCUCAGGUGAUAGCACUUUAGGAAUCAAGGUGAUCAAAGAACCAUUAAUACUUUCAAGACUAAUUUUCACCCUUCCAUAUCACAUAUCAAUGAGUAGUAACCUGAACUGGGGUAAGCCGACCCUAGAGACUUGUAAUAGAGCUGGUGAUGACACAUCAAAGCCUGUUGAUAGAAUAGAACCUUGCAUCUUCUUUAUAGGAAAUGUGGUCUUGGUUGGAUCUUCCGAGCAAGUUUCCACAUUCGAGACUAAGCAAGAAAAAUUUACCAUGCUCAGACUGGCAACAAUUAGAUCCUAAUAUUGAGAACACUGCUAAAACCUCCAGCAAAAUAGUAAAUACACUAACUAAACUACUGUUAGAAAAGAGGAGUGCCACACUGAUGAUUUUAACUAAAGAAUAAAGAGCGGUAACUUGCUGGGGUAAGCCAACGCUAGAGACUUGUAAUAGAGGUGCUGAUGACUAAUCAAAGCAUGUUGAUGGAAUAGAAUCUUGCAUCUUCUUUGUCGAAAUUUUGGCCUUGGUUGCAUCCUCCGAGCAAGUUUCCAUAGUGAGACUAUGCAAGGAAAAUUUAUCAAGCUCAGACUGGCAACAAUUACAGCCUAAUAUCAAGAACACUGCUAAAACCUCCAGCAAAAUGGUAAAAAUACUGCUACUAACUAAACGAAUUUUAGUAAGAAGGGGUGAGACACUGAUGGUUUUAACUAAAGAAUAAAAAAAACAAUAAUCUGAACUAGGGUAAGCCGACGCUAUACUACUAAUAGAGUUGCUGAUGACACAUCAAAGCCUGUUGAUAGAACAUAAUCUUGCAUUUUUUUUAUCAAAAAUGGGGCCUUGGUUGGAUCCUCCGAGCAAGUUUCCAAAUUCAAGACUAUGUAAGAACAUUUUACCUUGCCAAGCUCGCAACAGUUACAGCCUAAUAUCGAGAAUACCACUAAAACCUCAACAAAAUGGUAGAAACAUUUUUUAAAUACUGCUACUAAAUAAACAAAUGUUAAAAGGAGGGCGUCAAUGAUUGUUUUAACUAAAGAAUAAAGAGCAGUAACCUGAACUGGGGUAAGUUGAUGCUAGAGACUUGUAAUAGAGCUGCUGAUAUCACAUCAAAGCCCGCUAAUAGAAUAGAAUCUUGCAUCUUCUUUAUCGAAAAUGUGGCCUUGGUUGGAUAUUCCGAGCAAGUUUCCAUAUUCGGGACUAAGGAAAUUUUAUCAAGCUUAGACCGACAACAAUUACAGCCUAAUAUCAAGAACACCGCUAAAACCUCCAGCAAAAUGGUAAAAACACUUCAAAAAUAUUGCUACUAACUAAACGAAUGUUAGAAACGAGGGGUACAACACUGAUGGUUUUAACUAAAGAAUAAAGAACAUAUUCUGUGGAAACAAAGCUCGCUAUUGAAUAUUUCUUUCUUAGGUAGGCGCUCUUUUAUAGAUUCCCCGCAGGUAUACACAUUUACACAUUAGGGGUAUUUUCUAUGUAAAUUGGGGUCUCAAAGGGCCGCUGGUUCUGAGAAAACCAACGUCUUGGUUAAUUAUACCAUGUAUUAGGGUAUUUUUCCUUGCACUGCAAAAGAAAUCGAUAUUUUUUCCUGCCCAAAAAAUAUUAAUUGAUAUUUAUUUAUUUUCGACUGACUACUGUGAGGCAACAGCCUCACAGUCCUUUAUUGAAGAACUGAGAGGUCUUACAAACCAAACUAAAAGACUAAGCCAAGCUAAGAAAAAAACUAUACUUACCUAUUUACAUGUUACAUAAUUACAGAAAAGCUAUAAACAAACUCCUAUGGGAGAGAGUUAAUCUAGCUUAACAAAGCUGGUCUUGUCACAUCAUGUAUGAACCUUUCCUUCCAUCCCCUAAAAGAAGGCCUCUCAUGACUGAAGAUCCUUCCAUUACGAAUAAGCCAAAUGUUCCAGGCAGCCAGAAAAGCAACCUCAUGGAAAAAAGGGUAUCCAAAGCUUCUUUUGGCGUGAAGGAUACACUCUCUUGGGUUUAGACCAGCAGUCCACUGGAUCUGAAGAUAAUUCCAUACCCUUGCACUGAAGGUACACUUAAAAAAUACUGUAGGUGAUAUCUGUCCUCCAGGGUUUGAGUGGGGCAUAAAGGGCAGUUAUUCUCAUCAUUCUGUUGCCUCCAGUGCCUUCUAACCAGCAUAUCUCUGGUAUUUAAUCUGUCAUUAAGCAUCAGCCAUGCAAAGACCUUAAUCUUCAUGAUACUCCUGCUUUCCCAUAUCCAUUUACAUGGCUCAUCAACU